UACAAAAUUAUCCUUUAUAGUGGUAAAUUCUUUCACAGACAUCUACCUCACGUGCCAUCGCCUCACCUUCAAAACCCUUUGUCUCCUCUACCAAACCCUCACUCCUGGCGAUGAAGGACCGGCCUCCUUCCUCGUACGGCUCCAUUUACAUCCCUCCCGACCAUCGCCUCUACUCCGUCUUCACUACCCCCAAGUAUACCUCCCAUGUUUCAAUCGGCUCCAAGCUCCAGGAAAAACCAGACUGCUGCUGCCGCUGCUGCUCUCAACAGGAGGAGCAGCACCAGUGGUGCUCUGGUGUACUACCAAACUCAGCAGCAGCAGGAGUAGUUGCAUAAACCCAAGCUAUAGCAGACUUCUGUUUACGACGCCAACGUUUCAGAUGAAGGCUUUGAUUGCAAAGUUGAGUUGUUUCUAUAUGUGGAUUGUGUACUCGUGGAGUUGUUAAUUGGGAAGCAUGCGUGUUUACUAAGUGUGAAUUGGUGAUUGCGUUUCAAUUAGGGCUCAACAGCUGAUCACAUUGAUCAGAGAAUUAGUCUUGUUUUAUAAGAUCUUAUGAAAAUUUGAGGGAAGAUCAACAACUGACCGGCUCACUCUCAAGGCUAAUGCUCAGUUUGCAAAUGAGCCGCACAUGGCUAUUGGCAUGGUCAAUUUGGACUACAAGGUCAUCUUUCAAUUUACAAGUUUCAGUUCUUCAGGAACAUUUUAGUGUACUAGAUUGCCUUCAGCUUCGUUAAAGUCUCCAAGUUUAGUUUUAGAAGUACAUGGUGGUUCUCAUCUCAUGUGUCAUAUGGAUAUGGUGCUCCUAUGAUUACACAGGGUUCAGACUCACCAAUUUCUCCAAAAUAACGACCUAAUGUGAAGCAAUAAGAUAGACUUGUUCAUAUGGGUGCAGAAAUUAGAUGGCAUGCAAGGUCACCUACUAAAAAAAAUGGGAAUACAACAAACUGUCAGGCAAUAAGAAAGGCUUGGUGCAGAAGUUAGACUCUGAUGUUUGAAGAGGUGGACGAGUGUUUCAUUUUUUUAGUUUUUAAUUUGGUUGUUCAUUGACUCGCGUACUCAGUGCGAUGUGAAAUGUUGUGUUGAUUUUU
This is a long non-coding RNA of Pyrus x bretschneideri (Chinese white pear), 1088 nucleotides long. RefSeq lists it as uncharacterized. The transcript has 2 exons. The record is from RefSeq and is a predicted model, not a curated record. Lineage: Eukaryota; Viridiplantae; Streptophyta; Magnoliopsida; Rosales; Rosaceae.